GUGAAUCAUCGAAUCUUUGAACGCAUAUUGCGCCCCUUGGUAUUCCGGGGGGCACACCUGUUCGAGCGCCAUUUCGACCCUCAAGCAUAGCUUGGUGUUGGGUGAAGUCCUUAAGGGGACCUCCCCGUAACUUCUAGGCGGUCGCUGCCCGCAACCCCCCAGCGUAGCAAGCUAACGCAUUCGCUCGGGGAUGGGGUGUGACCAUUGCCCUUAUAAAAACCUUCUCUCAAAGGUUUGGCCUCGGAUCAGGUGGGGAUACCCGCUGAACUUAAGCAUAUCAAUAAGCGGAGGA
This 292-nucleotide unclassified non-coding RNA is filed under the name Venturiales sp. RNAcentral's name for it is "partial contains 5.8S ribosomal RNA, internal transcribed spacer 2, and large subunit ribosomal RNA". The stretch from base 1 to 71 matches the Rfam family "5.8S ribosomal RNA", at positions 84 to 154 of the family's 154-position model. The record is from RNAcentral. Lineage: Eukaryota; Fungi; Ascomycota; Dothideomycetes; Venturiales.